Molecule: ribosomal RNA, 491 nt
Filed under: uncultured bacterium
Lineage: Bacteria
Description: partial 16S ribosomal RNA
Rfam family: Bacterial small subunit ribosomal RNA
Source: RNAcentral
AGUGAACGCUGGCGGUAGGCCUAACACAUGCAAGUCGAACGGCAGCACAGUAAGAGCUUGCUCUUACGGGUGGCGAGUGGCGGACGGGUGAGGAAUACAUCGGAAUCUACUUUUUCGUGGGGGCUAACGUAGGGAAACUUACGCUAAUACUGCAUACGACCUACGGGUGAAAGCAGGGGAUCUUCGGCCCUUGCGCGAUUGAAUGAGCCGAUGUCGGAUUAGCUAGUUGGCGGGGUAAAGGCCCACCAAGGCGACGAUCCGUAGCUGGUCUGAGAGGAGAACCGUCCAAACUGAAACUGAGACACGGUCCAGACUCCUACGGGAGGCAGCAGUGGGAAAUAUUGGACAAUGGGCGCAAGCCGGAUCCAGCCAGACCGCGGGGGGGAAGAAGGCCUUCGGGUGGUAAAGACCUUUUGUUGGGAAAGAAAAGCAGCAGGUUAAUACCCCGCUGUUCUGACGGUACCCAAAGAAUAAGCACCGGCGAACUUCGU